GUUGCGGGGCCGUCAGGUGGGCAAAACCCCAGCGAGGGGAAGCUCCAGGAUCGUUGCAGUGCCAUUUCUAGGUCCCUCCUCCUCUCCCCACUUCCCUUUUCUCUGCACCCAUUUGACAGGAGCCUCUGCAAUCAUCUGCUUAUUGCGCGUCACCGUCAUCCACUGGGAGAGCCUUGUGGUACCACCUUUCUCCACCUAUGGCUGCGGCCCGCAGGAAGAUGACGGGUUGCGCUUCUGCUCUGGAGCCAGCCCUGUUGCCGGGAACUGCAACCCGCAAGAUGAUGCCAGAGCUCAGCUUCCCUCUUUUUAUGUUGCAGAGUUUAUGCUGCCCUGCACUGAGCAGACGCUUUCGCUUACGCAGCCCUGCCCUUCACCUUGCCCAGUGAUUCCGGAAUAACCUUCCGGACCCUCCUACUUGCAGAGCUUCAUUGCUUCAAGCGUCAUAAUCAUUCAUCUGCGUUUUUCCUCUAGUGAUGAAGGCUCGUGGACCGACCACGGUUCACUCGGUCUAGGAGUCAUGCUGUUGAUCAGGUUGUCAGACAUCAAAAUUCCCAUCUCCCAUCAGGGCACAGCUAUAGGGCUCUGGGUCAAAACAGGGCCUUCUCUUUUGUCUGGUAGCACCAGAAACACGGUAAUAGGGAACCCAUCAGGAAUGGAAGGCUCCUUGAGGCCCUGGAGAUGGAAGGUUGGGCCCCCAAGUCCUGAAAGGGACCAGUGGGCUGUAAUCUUCACAAUCUGGAUCCAGCCAGAAGAGCACUGAGAGCUCAGUGUUUGGAGGACAAAAAAGGGCAAUGGAUAUACAGUAACUUAGUGAAUCAGGGCCCGGAUCCAGGAAGAUGCCUGACAUUUGUUUAUCAGCAGAGAAACAGAAGUAAAGGAGGGGAACCUCCUCCUAAGUGUUACUGUGUUAUGAAAGUGUCCUUCAGGGAGAGGCGACAUGAACAGGGCAGCUGAUAACAUUGAUACUGUGCAGGCACACAUCUCCCCACAUUCCCCAGGCUGCUGAACCAAGUGUACCAAACUAAUCGCAAGGACACAGCUUUGAGCCUCCCCGGCAGCAGUCCCUGGAGGGAGUCCGCUCAGACAAAGCAAAGCGCGCUCCCAGAGGGGAGGGGUGGCCACUUUUUCUUUGUUCUCCCUUGGAAAAUGGGCUGUCUCUUAAGUCUCGUAAACCAGCUGCUUUCACUUCUUGCAGGAGGUCGCGAUAAAUUAAUCACCAAUCAUGUUUGGACAGCAUAGUUUUGAAGCCCUCAACUCUGUGAAAUGCAGGGUCAAACUAUUUUUAGAAUUUUAACAUGCCGUUAAGUUUGUAUUCUGAGUUUCCCAACAAAAAUUUCAGAAAUGUGCCCCACUUUGAAAAAAUAAAAUAAAAAGAACACCUCCAGAAAAAAGGUGG
This 1396-nucleotide non-coding RNA is filed under the name Pongo abelii (Sumatran orangutan). Lineage: Eukaryota; Metazoa; Chordata; Mammalia; Primates; Hominidae. The record is from RNAcentral.